UGCAUGACGACAGGUCGGUGGUCUGA
RNAcentral lists this non-coding RNA (26 nucleotides) under Bombyx mori (domestic silkworm). The record is from RNAcentral. Lineage: Eukaryota; Metazoa; Arthropoda; Insecta; Lepidoptera; Bombycidae.